UUAAGCGACUAAGCGUACACGGUGGAUGCCCUGGCAGUCAGAGGCGAUGAAGGACGUGCUAAUCUGCGAAAAGCGCCGGCGAGGUGAUAUGAACCCUUGACCCGGCGAUGUCCGAAUGGGGAAACCCAGUGCAAUCCGUUGCACUAUCGUUAACUGAAUACAUAGGUUAACGAGGCGAACCGGGGGAACUGAAACAUCUAAGUACCCCGAGGAAAAGAAAUCAACCGAGAUUCCCCCAGUAGCGGCGAGCGAACGGGGAGCAGCCCGGAGUCUGAAUCAGCUUGUGUGUUAGUGGAACGGUCUGGAAAGUCCGACGGUACAGGGUGAUAGUCCCGUACACGAAAAUGCACAUGCUGUGAACUCGAAGAGUAGGGCGGGACACGUGGUAUCCUGUCUGAAUAUGGGGGGACCAUCCUCCAAGGCUAAAUACUCCUGACUGACCGAUAGUGAACCAGUACCGUGAGGGAAAGGCGAAAAGAACCCCGGCGAGGGGAGUGAAAAAGAACCUGAAACCGUGUACGUACAAGCAGUGGGAGCCUCUUUAUGGGGUGACUGCGUACCUUUUGUAUAAUGGGUCAGCGACUUAUAUUCUGUAGCAAGGUUAACCGUAUAGGGGAGCCGAAGGGAAACCGAGUCUUAACUGGGCGUUAAGUUGCAGGGUAUAGACCCGAAACCCGGUGAUCUAGCCAUGGGCAGGUUGAAGGUUGGGUAACACUAACUGGAGGACCGAACCGACUAAUGUUGAAAAAUUAGCGGAUGACCUGUGGCUGGGGGUGAAAGGCCAAUCAAACCGGGAGAUAGCUGGUUCUCCCCGAAAGCUAUUUAGGUAGCGCCUCGUGAACUCAUCUUCGGGGGUAGAGCACUGUUUCGGCUAGGGGGCCAUCCCGGCUUACCAACCCGAUGCAAACUACGAAUACCGAAGAAUGUUAUCACGGGAGACACACGGCGGGUGCUAACGUCCGUCGUGAAGAGGGAAACAACCCAGACCGCCAGCUAAGGUCCCAAAGUCAUGGUUAAGUGGGAAACGAUGUGGGAAGGCACAGACAGCCAGGAUGUUGGCUUAGAAGCAGCCAUCAUUUAAAGAAAGCGUAAUAGCUCACUGGUCGAGUCGGCCUGCGCGGAAGAUGUAACGGGGCUAAACCAUGCACCGAAGCUGCGGCAGCGACACUAUGUGUUGUUGGGUAGGGGAGCGUUCUGUAAGCCGUUGAAGGUGUGCUGUGAGGCAUGCUGGAGGUAUCAGAAGUGCGAAUGCUGACAUAAGUAACGAUAAAGCGGGUGAAAAGCCCGCUCGCCGGAAGACCAAGGGUUCCUGUCCAACGUUAAUCGGGGCAGGGUGAGUCGACCCCUAAGGCGAGGCCGAAAGGCGUAGUCGAUGGGAAACAGGUUAAUAUUCCUGUACUUGGUGUUACUGCGAAGGGGGGACGGAGAAGGCUAUGUCAGCCGGGCGACGGUUGUCCCGGUUUAAGCAUGUAGGCGGAGGUUCCAGGUAAAUCCGGUACCUUGUUAACGCUGAGGUGUGAUGACGAGGCACUACGGUGCUGAAGUGAUAAAUGCCCUGCUUCCAGGAAAAGCCUCUAAGCAUCAGGUAACACGAAAUCGUACCCCAAACCGACACAGGUGGUCAGGUAGAGAAUACCAAGGCGCUUGAGAGAACUCGGGUGAAGGAACUAGGCAAAAUGGUGCCGUAACUUCGGGAGAAGGCACGCUGAUGUGUAGGUGAAGCCCCUGCGGGCGGAGCUGAAAUCAGUCGAAGAUACCAGCUGGCUGCAACUGUUUAUUAAAAACACAGCACUGUGCAAACACGAAAGUGGACGUAUACGGUGUGACGCCUGCCCGGUGCCGGAAGGUUAAUUGAUGGGGUUAGCGGCAACGCGAAGCUCUUGAUCGAAGCCCCGGUAAACGGCGGCCGUAACUAUAACGGUCCUAAGGUAGCGAAAUUCCUUGUCGGGUAAGUUCCGACC
RNAcentral lists this ribosomal RNA (1961 nucleotides) under Enterobacter hormaechei. RNAcentral describes it as "bacterial LSU rRNA". It matches the Rfam family "Bacterial large subunit ribosomal RNA", at positions 1 to 1988 of the family's 2925-position model. Lineage: Bacteria; Pseudomonadati; Pseudomonadota; Gammaproteobacteria; Enterobacterales; Enterobacteriaceae. The record is from RNAcentral.